AUGAUGGGAAUUUAAACCUCUUCCAGAGUAUCAAUUGGAGGGCAAGUCUGGUGCCAGCAGCCGCGGUAAUUCCAGCUCCAAUAGCGUAUAUUAAAAUUGUUGCAGUUAAAAAGCUCGUAGUUGAAUUUCUGCUGCAUCGCUGUGUCCCUUCGGGGUCUCUGCAUGUGGCUUAUUUCGGACGGAGUUCGCUUUGUCUGGAUGUUUACUUUGAGAAAAUUAGAGUGCUCAAAGCAGGCUUUUGCCUUGAAUAGUUUAGCAUGGAAUAAUAAAGUAGGACUUUGGUUCUAUUUUGUUGGUUUUAGGUACCAAAGUAAUGGUUAAUAGGAACAGUUGGGGGCAUUCGUAUUUAACUGUCAGAGGUGAAAUUCUUAGAUUUGUUAAAGACGAACUACUGCGAAAGCAUU
This 404-nucleotide ribosomal RNA is filed under the name Theileria parva. RNAcentral's name for it is "SSU rRNA". It matches the Rfam family "Eukaryotic small subunit ribosomal RNA", at positions 514 to 955 of the family's 1831-position model. The record is from RNAcentral. Lineage: Eukaryota; Apicomplexa; Aconoidasida; Piroplasmida; Theileriidae.